UGGGGAAUCUUAGACAAUGGGGGAAACCCUGAUCUAGCCAUGCCGCGUGAGUGAUGAAGGCCCUAGGGUCGUAAAGCUCUUUCGCCAGGGAUGAUAAUGACAGUACCUGGUAAAGAAACCCCGGCUAACUCCGUGCCAGCAGCCGCGGUAAUACGGAGGGGGUUAGCGUUGUUCGGAAUUACUGGGCGUAAAGCGCACGUAGGCGGACUAUUAAGUGAGGGGUGAAAUCCCGGGGCUCAACCCCGGAACUGCCUCUCAUACUGGUAGUCUUGAGUUCGAGAGAGGUGAGUGGAAUUCCGAGUGUAGAGGUGAAAUUCGUAGAUAUUCGGAAGAACACCAGUGGCGAAGGCGCUCUACUGGGCCGAGACUGACGCUGAUGGACGAAAGCUAGGGGAGCGAAAGGGAUUAGAUACCCCGGUAGUCC
This 424-nucleotide ribosomal RNA is filed under the name uncultured prokaryote. Its description in RNAcentral is "bacterial SSU rRNA". It matches the Rfam family "Bacterial small subunit ribosomal RNA", at positions 355 to 796 of the family's 1533-position model. The record is from RNAcentral.